This 380-nucleotide ribosomal RNA is filed under the name uncultured bacterium. RNAcentral describes it as "bacterial SSU rRNA". It matches the Rfam family "Bacterial small subunit ribosomal RNA", at positions 518 to 898 of the family's 1533-position model. The record is from RNAcentral.
CGGUAAUACGUAGGGUGCAAGCGUUAAUCGGAAUUACUGGGCGUAAAGCGUGCGCAGGCGGUGAUGUAAGACAGGUGUGAAAUCCCCGGGCUUAACCUGGGAACUGCAUUUGUGACUGCAUCGCUGGAGUGCGGCAGAGGGGGAUGGAAUUCCGCGUGUAGCAGUGAAAUGCGUAGAUAUGCGGAGGAACACCGAUGGCGAAGGCAAUCCCCUGGGCCUGCACUGACGCUCAUGCACGAAAGCGUGGGGAGCAAACAGGAUUAGGUACCCUGGUAGUCCACGCCCUAAACGAUGUCAACUGGUUGUUGGGUCUUCACUGACUCAGUAACGAAGCUAACGCGUGAAGUUGACCGCCUGGGGAGUACGGCCGCAAGGUUGAA